RNAcentral lists this ribosomal RNA (271 nucleotides) under uncultured archaeon. Its description in RNAcentral is "partial 16S ribosomal RNA". It matches the Rfam family "Archaeal small subunit ribosomal RNA", at positions 477 to 747 of the family's 1478-position model. The record is from RNAcentral.
CAGCGCCACGAGUGGGGAUCCUGUUUAUUUGGCCUAAAGCGUCCGUAGCUGGUUGAAUAAAUCUCUUGUGAAAUCGUUAAGCUUAACUUAACAGCGUGCAGGAGAGACUGUUCAACUAGGGACCGGGAGGAGUCAGAGGUAUGCCCAGGAGAGCGGUAAAAUGCUAUAAUCCUGAGUAGACCACCUGUGGCGAAGGCGUCUGACUAGAACGGGUUCGACAGUGAGGGACGAAAGCCAGGGGAGCAAACCGGAUUAGAUACCCGAGUAGUCC